AUUGAACGCUGGCGGCAGGCCUAACACAUGCAAGUCGAGCGGAUGAAGGGAGCUUGCUCCUGGAUUCAGCGGCGGACGGGUGAGUAAUGCCUAGGAAUCUGCCUGGUAAUGGGGGAUAACGUCCGGAAACGGGCGCUAAUACCGCAUACGUCCUGAGGGAGAAAGUGGGGGAUCUUCGGACCUCACGCUAUCAGAUGAGCCUAGGUCGGAUUAGCUAGUUGGUGGGGUAAAGGCCUACCAAGGCGACGAUCCGUAACUGGUCUGAGAGGACGAUCAGUCACACUGGAACUGAGACACGGUCCAGACUCCUACGGGAGGCAGCAGUGGGGAAUAUUGGACAAUGGGCGAAAGCCUGAUCCAGCCAUGCCGCGUGUGUGAAGAAGGUCUUCGGAUUGUAAAGCACUUUAAGUUGGGAGGAAGGGCAGUAAGUUAAUACCUUGCUGUUUUGACGUUACCAACAGAAUAAGCACCGGCUAACUUCGUG
Molecule: ribosomal RNA, 484 nt
Filed under: uncultured bacterium
Lineage: Bacteria
Description: partial 16S ribosomal RNA
Rfam family: Bacterial small subunit ribosomal RNA
Source: RNAcentral